This 561-nucleotide ribosomal RNA is filed under the name Escherichia coli. RNAcentral describes it as "bacterial SSU rRNA". It matches the Rfam family "Bacterial small subunit ribosomal RNA", at positions 97 to 659 of the family's 1533-position model. The record is from RNAcentral. Lineage: Bacteria; Pseudomonadati; Pseudomonadota; Gammaproteobacteria; Enterobacterales; Enterobacteriaceae.
GGCGGACGGGUGAGUAACAUUUAGGAAUCUGCCUAGUAGUGGGGGAUAGCUCGGGGAAACUCGAAUUAAUACCGCAUACGACCUACGGGUGAAAGGGGGCGCAAGCUCUUGCUAUUAGAUGAGCCUAAAUCAGAUUAGCUAGUUGGUGGGGUAAAGGCCCACCAAGGCGACGAUCUGUAACUGGUCUGAGAGGAUGAUCAGUCACACCGGAACUGAGACACGGUCCGGACUCCUACGGGAGGCAGCAGUGGGGAAUAUUGGACAAUGGGGGCAACCCUGAUCCAGCCAUGCCGCGUGUGUGAAGAAGGCCUUUUGGUUGUAAAGCACUUUAAGCAGGGAGGAGAGGCUAAUGGUUAAUACCCAUUAGAUUAGACGUUACCUGCAGAAUAAGCACCGGCUAACUCUGUGCCAGCAGCCGCGGUAAUACAGAGGGUGCGAGCGUUAAUCGGAAUUACUGGGCGUAAAGCGAGUGUAGGUGGCUCAUUAAGUCACAUGUGAAAUCCCCGGGCUUAACCUGGGAACUGCAUGUGAUACUGGUGGUGCUAGAAUAUGUGAGAGGGA